RNAcentral lists this unclassified non-coding RNA (195 nucleotides) under Ascomycota sp. Its description in RNAcentral is "partial contains small subunit ribosomal RNA, internal transcribed spacer 1, and 5.8S ribosomal RNA". The stretch from base 1 to 47 matches the Rfam family "Eukaryotic small subunit ribosomal RNA", at positions 1785 to 1831 of the family's 1831-position model. Lineage: Eukaryota; Fungi; Ascomycota. The record is from RNAcentral.
AAAGUCGUAACAAGGUCUCCGUAGGUGAACCUGCGGAGGGAUCAUUACUGAAUGGUCAUUCGACCUUCAAACCCUUCAAACCUGUGGAAGCAAACAUGUGCUUCGGCGCCCCGGCGUCGCUUUUAUGCUGUAAUGAGUCUUGUGUCUGAAUAAUGCAAAGAAUUAAAACUUUCAACAAAGGAUCUCUUGGCUCUC